Molecule: unclassified non-coding RNA, 329 nt
Filed under: soil metagenome
Description: partial contains 5.8S ribosomal RNA, internal transcribed spacer 2, and large subunit ribosomal RNA
Rfam family: 5.8S ribosomal RNA (bases 1-120)
Source: RNAcentral
GAUGAAGAACGUAGCGAAAUGCGAUAAGUAAUGUGAAUUGCAGAAUUCAGUGAAUCAUCGAAUCUUUGAACGCACAUUGCGCCCCCUGGUAUUCCGGGGGGCAAGCCUGUCCGAGCGUCAUUACAACCCUCAAGCUCAGCUUGGUAUUGGGCCCCGCCGACCCGGCGGGCCCUAAAGUCAGUGGCGGUGCCGUCCGGCUCCGAGCGUAGUAAUUCUUCUCGCUCUGGAGGUCCGGUCGUGUGCUCGCCAGCAACCCCCAAUUUUUUUCAGGUUGACCUCGGAUCAGGUAGGGAUACCCGCUGAACUUAAGCAUAUCAAUAAGCGGAGGA